Molecule: ribosomal RNA, 495 nt
Filed under: uncultured bacterium
Lineage: Bacteria
Description: partial 16S ribosomal RNA
Rfam family: Bacterial small subunit ribosomal RNA
Source: RNAcentral
GACGAACGCUGGCGGCGUGCCUAAUACAUGCAAGUAGAACGCUGAAGGAGGAGCUUGCUUCUCUGGAUGAGUUGCGAACGGGUGAGUAACGCGUAGGUAACCUGCCUGGUAGCGGGGGAUAACUAUUGGAAACGAUAGCUAAUACCGCAUAAGAGUAGAUGUUGCAUGACAUUUGCUUAAAAGGUGCAAUUGCAUCACUACCAGAUGGACCUGCGUUGUAUUAGCUAGUUGGUGGGGUAACGGCUCACCAAGGCGACGAUACAUAGCCGACCUGAGAGGGUGCUCGGCCACACUGGGACUGGGACACGGCCCAGACUCCUGCGGGAGACAGCAGUAGGGAAUCUUCGGCAAUGGACGGAAGUCUGACCGAGCAACGACGCGUGAGUGACGAAGGUUUUCGGAUCGUAAAGCUCUGUUGUAAGAGAAGAACGAGUGUGAGAGUGGAAAGUUCACACUGUGACGGUAUCUUACCAGAAAGGCACGGCUAACUACGUG